AUGGAGCCGGCGACCAAGCAGGACCUGAAGGAUCUCCUGAAGGAGUUCCGAGAGAGCAUGAAGGAGAGCAUCAGGGAGGCUGUCGCGGUCGGGUUCGGCAACUCGAAGCCGGCACUCGAGCAGGCGACCACCUCGACCUCUUCUCAGUUCCUUGCCAUGGACGCCUCCGAUGACAAGGAUCUGGCACCUGCGUGCUCCAGCCCCGAACAGGGCACGCACGCCCUCGACUUCGCCCCAACGACCACCAUCGACGUCCUUCCCGGGCUCGACAUUGACGCCACGGGCGUUGCUGCACCAACGCCCACAACCUGCUCGACGGAUGGCCUCAUCCACAGCACCGAUGGAGACGAUAGGAUAGAGGCGUCGAAGGCUGCUUGGGGUUCGCCUACGCCCUUCACCGCGCGUCCAGGGGACUCGCCAACACCAAUGAGUGAGCCAUCUCUCGGCCUUGCACUCGGUGCGCUGGCGCAGACCAAGUGUUUGACAGAAUGCUCAGGUCAAGUUGAUGCGUCCGUCACGGCCAGUGUUAUCUUAGCGACUGCUGGCUGCAUGCCCACUACCUGUUCGACCGAGUGGGUCACCCAUGCUGACAGUCGCAUCAUCGACUUGUCGUCAACAACCCUACCCAUUCGGCUCGCAGCUACAGCGGUGCAUCGUUCGUGGGUGCAGACAGUGCCACCGCACCCACCGGACCUGAGGUUAUUUUUUUGGUGGGACCAUGGGUGUCUAAUGAGUGGCCGUGGUGAUUUGGAAAGAGUGAUUCAUCCUAGCCCAAAUGAAAGUUUAUGCACAAGGCAAUGUCAAGAGGUAAAACUCUCGUGUCUGUUUCAUGGGAUGUCUAUUUCUUGGCAAUGGUUGGUACACUGGCUAGUCUAUGGAGUUGAUUUACGUCAAAUUCCGUGUCCAUCAUUUUCAAAUGGUGAGCCACCAGAUGUGGAUUGUUCCAGUGUUGCCAAUUGGGACCCCCAUGUGCCUAUUUCUGUUGAUGACAAGUUCCUGAAGCAUCUGUUUCUAAGUGUUCAAGUGCAUGACAGUGGAAUGGUUGUAGUUCCCUCUCUGACCUUGAUACCACUCCUUACUGUACUUGAGGCACCAUUCACAAUCCAUGGAGGGUUUCUUCUCAUAGAUGGCCUCUGGGGCUGGUCACUACAUCUGCUCGGUCGCGUAAGGAAGAUAUCCGAUGAUAAGCGAGAUGCCCAAUGUAGUUUGGUCUAUCUUAAGUUACAGCAACAUGGAUUGUUUGUUGUACAUCUUACUAUGCUGAUGCACUUGCUUUUGAGUGGGGCUACAACCAUAUUUCUUACAGACAACUUCUAG
Molecule: ribosomal RNA, 1317 nt
Filed under: Triticum aestivum (bread wheat)
Lineage: Eukaryota; Viridiplantae; Streptophyta; Magnoliopsida; Poales; Poaceae
Description: partial small subunit ribosomal RNA
Source: RNAcentral